UGUCCGUAGGUGAACCUGCGGAAGGAUCACUAGAGAAUUGUAGGACGACUGCUUGUAUAGCCUGACCUCCACUUUCUAACCCUGUGCACUUAUUUGGCGGAAAACGGGAGUAGUGCUUGUUUAACGACGAUUGCGAAUGCCUUAGUUUGCGGCUUACUCUAUUCACUAUUCAAUGUCUGUAACGACAUAUCGAAAUACAAAAAAACUUUCAACAACGGAUCUCUUGGCUCUC
This 232-nucleotide unclassified non-coding RNA is filed under the name plant metagenome. RNAcentral describes it as "partial contains small subunit ribosomal RNA, internal transcribed spacer 1, and 5.8S ribosomal RNA". The record is from RNAcentral.